GCUGCCGUAGCUCAGUAGGCGAGAGCAGUUUCUCAGGUCGGUGGUUCAAGUCCAUCCGGCAGCC
RNAcentral lists this transfer RNA (64 nucleotides) under Clostridia bacterium. Its description in RNAcentral is "tRNA-OTHER". It matches the Rfam family "tRNA". Rfam says of the family: Transfer RNA (tRNA) molecules are approximately 80 nucleotides in length. Their secondary structure includes four short double-helical elements and three loops (D, anti-codon, and T loops). Lineage: Bacteria; Bacillati; Bacillota; Clostridia. The record is from RNAcentral.